GAUAAUUAUGAGUGAUGGCCA
Molecule: non-coding RNA, 21 nt
Filed under: Arabidopsis thaliana (thale cress)
Lineage: Eukaryota; Viridiplantae; Streptophyta; Magnoliopsida; Brassicales; Brassicaceae
Source: RNAcentral